GUUGUGGCUCAGUGGUAGAGCGCUUGUUGAGCAUGCAUGAGGCACUGGUUCAAUCCUGACACCACA
This 66-nucleotide transfer RNA is filed under the name Marmota monax (woodchuck). RNAcentral's name for it is "tRNA.Ala". Lineage: Eukaryota; Metazoa; Chordata; Mammalia; Rodentia; Sciuridae. The record is from RNAcentral.